UACGUAGGGCGCAAGCGUUGUUCGGAAUUAUUGGGCGUAAAGAGCUCGUAGGCGGCUUGUCACGUCGGGUGUGAAAGCCCGGGGCUUAACCCCGGGUCUGCAUUCGAUACGGGCUGGCUAGAGUGUGGUAGGGGAGAUCGGAAUUCCUGGUGUAGCGGUGAAAUGCGCAGAUAUCUGGAGGAACACCGGUGGCGAAGGCGGCAUCCUGGACCGACAUUGACGCUGAGGCGCGAAAGCUAGGGGAGCAAACGGG
RNAcentral lists this ribosomal RNA (253 nucleotides) under uncultured bacterium. RNAcentral describes it as "partial 16S ribosomal RNA". It matches the Rfam family "Bacterial small subunit ribosomal RNA", at positions 524 to 776 of the family's 1533-position model. The record is from RNAcentral.